AAACUUACCUGGCUGGGAGGCUUCCAGUGAUCACGAAGACUGGACCUUCAUGGUGAGGCUUAACCAUUGCACUUUCGGUUGGGCUGACCUGUGUGGCAUUCCCGAGUUGGGAUUGGCCAACAGCAUAAUUUUUGCGUUUGGGGGAGCGUCCGCGCUUCCCUGC
Non-coding RNA from Syphacia muris, 163 nucleotides. Lineage: Eukaryota; Metazoa; Nematoda; Chromadorea; Rhabditida; Oxyuridae. The record is from Rfam.